CCUGGUGCUAGUCGCUGUCGAGAUUUUUCGGCAUUGAUCGUUGGCGUUUUGGCUCGUUCUCGGCGUAGGAGCGUCGGAUUUUGACGAGAUUUGGUUCGUUGGAUUCGGGACUUCGAGAGGAAUCCACGAAGCCUUUACUUGCCGAAUUUGGUGAAGAUCCGUGGAGCAUUGUUGUCGCUGGUUCGGGGAGCUGCGCCGAGCUUGACAGGGACUCCGGUGACCUUCUUCACUGUCAGGGAUUUACGUUUUAGAGCCAUCGUCUUCGGCUGCUGCUGUUGCCGACCAGGAUCGAGGCAAGGGCGUCACGAG
Long non-coding RNA from Ananas comosus (pineapple), 309 nucleotides. RefSeq lists it as uncharacterized. Lineage: Eukaryota; Viridiplantae; Streptophyta; Magnoliopsida; Poales; Bromeliaceae. The record is from RefSeq and is a predicted model, not a curated record. The transcript has 4 exons.